Molecule: ribosomal RNA, 245 nt
Filed under: uncultured bacterium
Lineage: Bacteria
Also listed under: 1 other name
Description: partial 16S ribosomal RNA
Rfam family: Bacterial small subunit ribosomal RNA
Source: RNAcentral
UACGUAGGGUGCGAGCGUUGUCCGGAAUUACUGGGCGUAAAGAGCUCGUAGGUGGUUUGUCGCGUUGUUCGUGAAAUCUCACGGCUUAACUGUGAGCGUGCGGGCGAUACGGGCAGACUGGAGUACUGCAGGGGAGACUGGAAUUCCUGGUGUAGCGGUGGAAUGCGCAGAUAUCAGGAGGAACACCGGUGGCGAAGGCGGGUCUCUGGGCAGUAACUGACGCUGAGGAGCGAAAGCGUGGGGAG